GACGAACGCUGGCGGCGUGCCUAAUACAUGCAAGUAGAACGCUGAAGGAGGAGCUUGCUUCUCUGGAUGAGUUGCGAACGGGUGAGUAACGCGUAGGUAACCUGCCUGGUAGCGGGGGAUAACUAUUGGAAACGAUAGCUAAUACCGCAUAAGAGUAGAUGUUGCAUGACAUUUGCUUAAAAGGUGCAAUUGCAUCACUACCAGAUGGACCUGCGUUGUAUUAGCUAGUUGGUGGGGUAACGGCUCACCAAGGCGACGAUACAUAGCCGACCUGAGAGGGUGAUCGGCCACACUGGGACUGAGACACGGCCCAGACUCCUACGGGAGGCAGCAGUAGGGAAUCUUCGGCAAUGGACGGAAGUCUGACCGAGCAACGCCGCGUGAGUGAAGAAGGUUUUCGGAUCGUAAAGCUCUGUUGUAAGAGAAGAACGAGUGUGAGAGUGGAAAGUUCACAUUGUGACGGUAUCUUACCAGAAAGGGACGGCUAACUACGUG
Molecule: ribosomal RNA, 495 nt
Filed under: uncultured bacterium
Lineage: Bacteria
Description: partial 16S ribosomal RNA
Rfam family: Bacterial small subunit ribosomal RNA
Source: RNAcentral